This 772-nucleotide ribosomal RNA is filed under the name uncultured bacterium. Its description in RNAcentral is "bacterial SSU rRNA". It matches the Rfam family "Bacterial small subunit ribosomal RNA", at positions 28 to 813 of the family's 1533-position model. The record is from RNAcentral.
GACGAACGCUGGCGGCGCGCCUAACACAUGCAAGUCGAACGUGUGAGAGAGAGCUUGCUUUCUCGAGCGAGUGGCGAACGGGUGAGUAACGCGUGAGGAACCUGCCUCAAAGAGGGGGACAACAGUUGGAAACGACUGCUAAUACCGCAUAAGCCCACAGGUCGGCAUCGACCAGAGGGAAAGGGAGCAAUCCGCUUUGAGAUGGCCUCGCGUCCGAUUAGCUAGUUGGUGAGGUAAUGGCCCACCAAGGCGACGAUCGGUAGCCGGACUGAGAGGUUGAACGGCCACAUUGGGACUGAGACACGGCUCAGACUCCUACGGGAGGCAGCAGUGGGGAAUAUUGCACAAUGGGGGAAACCCUGAUGCAGCGACGCCGCGUGGAGGAAGAAGGUCUUCGGAUUGUAAACUCCUGUUGUUGAGGAAGAUAAUGACGGUACUCAACAAGGAAGUGACGGCUAACUACGUGCCAGCAGCCGCGGUAAAACGUAGGUCACAAGCGUUGUCCGGAAUUACUGGGUGUAAAGGGAGCGCAGGCGGGAAGACAAGUUGGAAGUGAAAUCUAUGGGCUCAACCCAUAAACUGCUUUCAAAACUGUUUUUCUUGAGUAGUGCAGAGGUAGGCGGAAUUCCCGGUGUAGCGGUGGAAUGCGUAGAUAUCGGGAGGAACACCAGUGGCGAAGGCGGCCUACUGGGCACCAACUGACGCUGAGGCUCGAAAGUGUGGGUAGCAAACAGGAUUAGAUACCCUGGUAGUCCACACCGUAAACGAUGAU